RNAcentral lists this transfer RNA (72 nucleotides) under Bos taurus (domestic cattle). It matches the Rfam family "tRNA". Rfam says of the family: Transfer RNA (tRNA) molecules are approximately 80 nucleotides in length. Their secondary structure includes four short double-helical elements and three loops (D, anti-codon, and T loops). The record is from Rfam by way of RNAcentral. Lineage: Eukaryota; Metazoa; Chordata; Mammalia; Artiodactyla; Bovidae. RNAcentral also lists the same sequence under 3 other names.
UCCCUGGUGGCUCAGUCGGUAAAGAAUCUGCCUGCAAUGUGGGAGACCUGGGUUUGAUCCCUAGUUUGGGAA